AGAAGAAUUGCUGUGUCAAAUGGUGGUUAAUUUUCAGAUUUCCAAGGAAUCUCCACACUGCUUUCCAUAUUGGCUGCACCAAUUUGCAGUUCUACCAGCAAU
This 102-nucleotide microRNA precursor is filed under the name Marmota monax (woodchuck). Lineage: Eukaryota; Metazoa; Chordata; Mammalia; Rodentia; Sciuridae. The record is from RNAcentral.